This 3243-nucleotide long non-coding RNA is filed under the name Mytilus galloprovincialis (Mediterranean mussel). Lineage: Eukaryota; Metazoa; Mollusca; Bivalvia; Mytilida; Mytilidae. The record is from RNAcentral.
GUAUAUUGUAUAAUAGAUUUAUUAUGUCUUGUCUAUCUUAAGUUUGGUUAAACUGCCUACUGGGAAAACAUUAUUACAUGUUUACAUUCCCAAUUACUACUAUAAGUCAAUUAUGUGUGAAAAAUUUCAAUUUCAUGGGUUUUAAUCUGGGUUUUAAUCCCCCAGGAUGUGAAACAUUAGAAUUUGUGUAUAUAAAUGAAGAGAUAUGAAAAUUUUAUCCUCAGUACUGUACGUCCCAGUUACUUAAUUAAAGACAAUAGAAAUAUUAAAUUAGGGUAAUAAAUAUCCCCCCCCCCCCCAAAAAAAAAAAAUGAACAUUGAGAAGUUCUCACUCUGAUACAUAUUUCAAUGAUCAAUUUAAUCAUCUUUUAUAAAUUAGAUGUGAGGACAUGCAUGGAUAGUUUUAAAACUCUUUCUUAACUUGGAAAAAGCACCUGGUUCCCUUAAGAACACAACAUUUCAGGGGGAGGAUGCAGAGCCUCUAUAUAUUUACUCUUCUCCUGGAUACUGAUUUGUGAACAUGUAAAAAAUAAGGCAGCUAAUGCACUUAUGUAACCUCAACAGCGAAAAUGACAAAUGUAUAAUUUUAUUUACUUUUUUCAAUUUCUCAUUGAUGUGUUGUAAAUUUUCUGUUAGAAACUCACACGACUCUCUAUCUAAACUAGUGUGACAGUAACACAAGACUGUUUUAUCUUAAUUUUGCAUAUUUUUUUUCUAGGUGUACAACUGUGCAAGUAUUGAACAUCAGCUUGAAAUGCAAUGUGACCUAAAAGACAGUAUAAUAAUGGACAGAUGUAAGUAAUGAUAAAAUAGUCAAUGAUAUGGGAAAUGUAUGAAAUUGUAAGAAAAAGUUGACAGGCAUAUUGUUUUACACCUGUCCCUCCGUCGGUCAGUUAACUAUAUAUAUAGGUCAAAGUACAGCCUUCAGCAAUGAUCAUACUGCAUAGUCAUAUAUAAAAAAGGCCCUGAAAUUACAAUUGUAAAAUAAUUCCAAACUAAUGACCUUAAUAUUAAUAUACAAAUAAAAUAACUAAAAACAAAUAUGCAACACAGCAACAAACAACAACCACUGAUUGUCCAGGUUCCUGACUUGGGACAGGCACAGAAGAUAGCAGGAUUAAACAUGUUAGUGGGAUCCAAGCCCUAAUAAAAUCAUAUUUUAGUUAUUCUCCUCAAGAAAAUCUAAUAUAAUGUAAUUAACAUCAACCAUUGUCAACACUUUUAAAUGUUGUACUUAACUUUAUAUAUAAAGAAGAUGUGGUAUGAUUGUCAAUGAGACAACUUUCCACAAGAGACCAAAUGACACAGAAAUUAAAAACUAAAGGUCACUGUACCCUCUUCAACAAUGAGCAAAGCCCAUACUGCAUAGUCAGCUAUAAAAGGCCCCAAAAUGACAAAUGUAAAACAAGAAAACUAACCGCCUAAUUUAUGUACAAAAAAAUGAAGAAAAAAAAAUAUGUAACACUUCAACAAUUGACAACCACUGCAUUACAGGCUCCUGACUUGGAACAGGCACAUACAUUACAUUGUACCUUAAUAUUUUAAUUCGCAUAUUGGUAUACAAUCUAUUGUAUGUUUUUUUCUUUUUUUCUUUAAAAAGUUAUAUGCAAGUGGGGGCAUAAUCUGUGUCCCAUGGACCCAAUCAUGACAUUUAUUUAUUCAGAGAAUUUUGAAAGGAAUAAAUAAUGAAUAAUUUUUCAUAAUUUUUUUUCAUCUUUAGAAAAGUCGUCUCCUGAAACAACUGAGACAAAUCUACCUAAAUUUGGCCACACUCAUCAUUAGGGUAUGUAUAUAUAGUUUUAAAUGUGUUUGAUGACCCUGCCAACCUACAUGGCAGACAUGGCUAAAAAUAGAAAAUAGGAGGAAAAUGCAGUGUUUACUUAUAUCUCUGAAACUAAAGCAAAAGUAUAACAGUUGCAUUAUUUCAUGCAUCAAUUGUAAAUGAGAAUAUCAGGUGAGCGAUAAAGGCCCAUUGGAGCCUCAACUUUCUAUAGCCAUUAUUGUUAUAGCUGGUCAGUGGUCAUAAACCUAUGAAAAUAAGUCAAUUAUUUAACCUCAGAGCACUACCAACAGAUUCUUAUCCAGUGUAUUUGAUCAUGUUGAUGAAUAAAUGCUAUUACAACUCGUUAACAGGGCAAGAUAUGGACAUUUAUUUUUCCUCUGGUUUUAUAAUAUAAAGAAAAAACAAACAAAAAAACAUUAAAGAAUAUCAGGGAUUUACGGGAACUUGAAGUAAUUGAAAACUUGUUCAAAUCCCAAACUGCACUUUAACUUUACUUUGCAUCAACCAUUAAGUGUUGUGAAAUGUUUACACAAUGCUUGUUAACACCAAACACUGAUCAAGUCACUUUCGUCAUUCUCAUAUUAUCAUGAAUAUGUUACUUUUUUAAUAGGAAAAAGGAUAUAUAUUAGAGAUAUAUUUACAAGCAGGGACAUCUGUGUCCCAUGGACACAUUCUUGUUUUAUUUAUUACAUAUUUUAGUGUAUUAAAGUAAUUAUACUGCUUCCACCUUUCAAUAUUCUAACAAAGCUCUAUCUCAUUAAUGGAUAAAUAAAUGAUACUAGUCAAGACCUCAACAGAUAAUUUUUUUUCAGGUUCUCUGGUCGUAAGAACCUGUUGGCCACACACAUGAAGAUUUUCAUUGAUCCUGCUUUCAGCUAAAUAUCAGAAAAAUUAAGAACAAAGGAAAAUAUGCUGAAACUGUACAGUCACCGGUCAGGAUUAUUUCAGAAGUGAAAUUAUAAUACAAUUUAUUUUACUGGUUUAUUCCUUUGAUUUGUAAUUUUAAACAACACACAGAGGCUUUGCAUUAUUGUUUUACAAGAGAGACACCAAAAGAUGCGGUCAACAUUUAUCAUUUUUAUCAAAAUACGCCCAGGACAAACCAUGGAUACAUUUAACUUGAAAUAUGGUGCUUUCAUACCAAAAUUGCCUGGAAGUAAAAGAAAUAAAGAACCAUUCAUGUCAGCAAUCAGGGGAUAAGAUGAAAGAAUGCAGAAUAAGGUACUGUAAUAUUCAGUCUUAAUAAGAGUCCUGCUUCUCUAUAUACAUAUGCUUUUUGUUAUGCCCCGUCGUAGCGGAGGGGGCAUUAAGUUUUAUCCUUGUAUGUUUGUACAUAAUAUUAGAUAUAAGGAAGAUGUGGUAUGACUUCCAAUGAGACAACUCUCCAUCCAAGUCACAAUUUGUAAAAGAAAAACAAUUAUAGGUCAAAGUACAGUCUUCAACACAGAGCCUUGGAUCAC